RNAcentral lists this ribosomal RNA (699 nucleotides) under uncultured bacterium. RNAcentral describes it as "bacterial SSU rRNA". It matches the Rfam family "Bacterial small subunit ribosomal RNA", at positions 94 to 792 of the family's 1533-position model. The record is from RNAcentral.
ACCGGCGCACGGGUGAGUAACACGUAUGGAACCUGCCCGUAGCAGGGGGAUAAGCGGAAGAAAUUCCGUCUAAUACCGCGUAAUAACUCCGAGAGGCAUCUCCUGGGGUUUAAAGGGUAACACCGGCUACGGAUGGCCAUGCGGCGCAUUAGCUAGUUGGCGGGGUAACGGCCCACCAAGGCGACGAUGCGUAGGGGUUCUGAGAGGAAGGUCCCCCACACUGGUACUGAGACACGGACCAGACUCCUACGGGAGGCAGCAGUGAGGAAUAUUGGUCAAUGGGCGCGAGCCUGAACCAGCCAAGUCGCGUGAGGGAAGACGGUCCUAUGGAUUGUAAACCUCUUUUGUCGGGGAGCAAAAGACGCCACGCGUGGCGUUCCGAGAGUACCCGAAGAAAAAGCAUCGGCUAACUCCGUGCCAGCAGCCGCGGUAAUACGGAGGAUGCGAGCGUUAUCCGGAUUUAUUGGGUUUAAAGGGUGCGCAGGCGGAAGAUCAAGUCAGCGGUAAAAUUGAGAGGCUCAACCUCUUCGAGCCGUUGAAACUGGUUUUCUUGAGUGAGCGAGAAUAUGCGGAAUGCGUGGUGUACCGGUGAAAUGCAUAGAUNUCACGCANAACUCCGAUUGCGAAGGCAGCAUACCGGCGCUCAACUGACGCUCAUGCNCNAANUUGUGGUNUCGAACAGGAUUAAAUACCCUGGUA